UACGUUUUAGUAUGUGAUGUAUUGAAAUUUUUGAUGUUUCAGGUGGUGGUUUAAUUCCGCCAGACGUAA
This 69-nucleotide transfer RNA is filed under the name Acmaeodera sp. NCS-2009. RNAcentral describes it as "tRNA-Gln". Lineage: Eukaryota; Metazoa; Arthropoda; Insecta; Coleoptera; Buprestidae. The record is from RNAcentral.